UAGUGACCUGAAGACCAUGCAUCGAAUUGCAAAUAUGAGUAGGGCUUCCAGUAUCGAAUACCCAGGUCAUUAUAUCUAUAAGAGAGAAGUUACAAGGUGUUAUCACAUAAGUAUAUUAUCCAGCAACUGAUUGCUUCUUUUUUGGCCUGUUCGGAUCAAGGGAAGCAAUAUACUACGGAUAGUUCCUCUUCCAGUGACCCUGCUUCUUG
This 209-nucleotide long non-coding RNA is filed under the name Elaeis guineensis (African oil palm). Its description in RNAcentral is "long non-coding RNA (EGUI_LNC071417)". Lineage: Eukaryota; Viridiplantae; Streptophyta; Magnoliopsida; Arecales; Arecaceae. The record is from RNAcentral.